AGGAAUAUUGGUCAAUGGACGAGAGUCUGAACCAGCCAAGUAGCGUGAAGGAUGACUGCCCUAUGGGUUGUAAACUUCUUUUAUACGGGAAUAAAGUGAGGCACGUGUGCCUUUUUGUAUGUACCGUAUGAAUAAGGAUCGGCUAACUCCGUGCCAGCAGCCGCGGUAAUACGGAGGAUCCGAGCGUUAUCCGGAUUUAUUGGGUUUAAAGGGAGCGUAGGCGGACGCUUAAGUCAGUUGUGAAAGUUUGCGGCUCAACCGUAAAAUUGCAGUUGAUACUGGGUGUCUUGAGUACAGUAGAGGCAGGCGGAAUUCGUGGUGUAGCGGUGAAAUGCUUAGAUAUCACGAAGAACUCCGAUUGCGAAGGCAGCUUGCUGGACUGUAACUGACGCUGAUGCUCGAAAGUGUGGGUAUCAAACAGGAUUAGAUACCCUGGUAGUCCACACAGUAAACGAUGAAUACUCGCUGUUUGCGAUAUACAGUAAGCGGCCAAGCGAAAGCGUUAAGUAUUCCACCUGGGGAGUACGCCGGCAACGGUGAAACUCAAAGGAAUUGACGGGGGCCCGCACAAGCGGAGGAACAUGUGGUUUAAUUCGAUGAUACGCGAGGAACCUUACCCGGGCUUGAAUUGCAACUGAAUGAUGUGGAGACAUGUCAGCCGCAAGGCAGUUGUGAAGGUGCUGCAUGGUUGUCGUCAGCUCGUGCCGUGAGGUGUCGGCUUAAGUGCCAUAACGAGCGCAACCCUUAUCGAUAGUUACCAUCAGGUUAUGCUGGGGACUCUGUCGAGACUGCCGUCGUAAGAUGUGAGGAAGGUGGGGAUGACGUCAAAUCAGCACGGCCCUUACGUCCGGGGCUACACACGUGUUACAAUGGGGGGUACAGAAGGCAGCUACACGGCGACGUGAUGCUAAUCCCGAAAGCCUCUCUCAGUUCGGAUUGGAGUCUGCAACCCGACUCCAUGAAGCUGGAUUCGCUAGUAAUCGCGCAUCAGCCACGGCGCGGUGAAUACGUUCCCG
RNAcentral lists this ribosomal RNA (1016 nucleotides) under uncultured bacterium. RNAcentral describes it as "bacterial SSU rRNA". It matches the Rfam family "Bacterial small subunit ribosomal RNA", at positions 357 to 1376 of the family's 1533-position model. The record is from RNAcentral.